GAUGAAUGCUGGCGGCGUGCUUAACACAUGCAAGUCGAGCGGCAGCGGACCUUCGGGUGCCGGCGAGCGGCGGACGGCUGAGUAACGCGUGGGAACAUACCCCAAAGUGAGGAAUAACUGCCCGAAAGGGUGGCUAAUGCCGCAUAUGGUCUUCGGAUUAAAGGAUUUAUCCGCUUUGGGAAUGGCCUGCGUACGAUUAGAUAGUUGGUGAGGUAAAGGCUCACCAAGUCGACGAUCGUUAACUGGUUUGAGAGGAUGAUCAGUCAGACUGGAACUGAGACACGGUCCAGACUCCUACGGGAGGCAGCAGUGAGGAAUAUUCCACAAUGGGGGAAACCCUGAUGGAGCAACGCCGCGUGCAGGAUGAAGGCUUUCGGGUCGUAAACUGCUUUUAUAGGUGAAUAAUAUGAAUGUAGCUUAUGAAUAAGCACCGGUAACUACGUG
This 444-nucleotide ribosomal RNA is filed under the name uncultured bacterium. Its description in RNAcentral is "bacterial SSU rRNA". It matches the Rfam family "Bacterial small subunit ribosomal RNA", at positions 28 to 507 of the family's 1533-position model. The record is from RNAcentral.